CACUAGCAUUGUGUGAUGUAUGGAAACCAGAAACUCAUAUUUGGAACUGGAACCAAAUUGACAGUGACGGCUAAAGUAAAACGGGACCCGGAGUAUUACAUAGUUAAGCCACAGAAUAGUGGCAGUGAAGAAAAAGAAUCCUGCCUCGCCACUGGCUUUACAGUUCAAAAUAUCACCGAUACAAUUUGGCCACCUGGUGAGAAAGAAGGAGCAGUUCGGUUUACAGACGAGGCUUAUUACAGCAGGCUCAUACUGAAUGACACCACCGACUGUAAUGUAACCGAUAACUGUGGUACUAAGGCACCUGAAGUGGACAAUUUCAAAUCAGAUGCCAAGACCAACUUCUUCGCACUGAGCAUCUUUUGGAUAAGGGUCCUGCUCUUGAAGGCCAUUGCGUUCAAUAUCUUGAUGACGGCGAAAGUCUGGUUGAGUUAGUGCUUUUUGAAUUUGGUGAUACAAUCCCAAAUUGGAAGCCCUGGAUGAAUUUUGUGCUGUCUGUGUGAAGAAAGAGGAAUGUUCUGCUCAACAUGACAACAUGGUUGUUGAAAUGCAAUGUAAUAUAGGUCUUAUUUGUUCAUUUAAGAAAUAGCUCUUUCCUUUUUUUGUGAUAAAAAAUACUUACUAUUCAAUUCAAUUUAAUUUUAUUUACAUACUUUUUUAAUUCACGCUUUUAACAAUAGACAUUUUCACAAUGUAAUACUCAAAUCUAGCUAUGAUUACUUUUGACUGCUUGUUCAGAAUCUGAAUUCUACUUUCACUUACCUGCACUUAUUAGGUCUGUUUUUUUUCUGUUUAUUAUUAUUUUUACUCACUGCUAUUAAUCCUGUCUUAUCAUUUAUCAUUUAUAUUCCCAUAUUGGCUGAAUCUGCAUCGGUAUCUCUUUAUAAACAUUAACAGAAUAUGUGUAUGACUUAAAGUUGAAGUUGCUAAGAUAUGUGCACAUGCAUAUACUAUGUACGUGGCUUUAUAUGUAUAGAUCAUUGUUCAUUUAUAUUUAGGUAUUGUCUUUUGCACAUCAAAAUAAAUGAUAAGUACAUGAAAUAAUCACUA
Molecule: non-coding RNA, 1050 nt
Organism: Pangasianodon hypophthalmus (striped catfish)
Lineage: Eukaryota; Metazoa; Chordata; Actinopteri; Siluriformes; Pangasiidae
Source: the annotation of a RefSeq genome assembly